UCAAAUUGCUGUUCCGAGCCGGAGCGUUGGCCGCCAUUACUAAGGAGGGCAGAAAAACGAACGACCCAACAAGAUACUGUGCACAACAUACGUGAACAAUUUGAAGAAGCCAGUUUCGCGCGUUGCAUUUGGUUGUUCGAACCGAAGAAAGAAAGGGAACUGCAUAAUAUUUGACAAAAAUACACCCAAGGGAGGAAAAGGAUGUUACACACCACCCCGUCCUAGUGCUGUGCCUACUGUCUUCCCUGGACAUCCUUCCUGUAAACAGACCCAUGGCUCAAGACUCCCAGCAAAACCAUGUACAACAUCCAAAAGUGUUCCCGUGCCUCCAAAGAAACCCUAUGACAUUACAAAAGAACAUGACUAUUCUUUUCUGUCUGAGUUGAUCAGAAACUGAAGAUAACCAGACAGCAACUGCAGGAUGCCAAUAAACAGCUUCAAGUGGUGAAACAGAAGGUAAACAGGAGAGAUGGAAAAACCAGGACUCUCUUGCAGGACGUCCACGAAAUUACACAAAUUAUUUGCACUCUACAUGUGCUUUGAUUCUGCAGGUUUAGAUAACCUGAGAUAAACAUGUAGACCUUUUUUAUAACAUUGUCUGGAUUGCUCUCAACCAAGUCAUUUGCAUCAUUAACGAUGAAAAGCAAGAAAUUCACAUCAAGUGAGCCACGUUUUCGAUACGGUGAACGAGGAGAAUUCACAGAUGUGUGGCAAUUGAAAAGCUUUGUGUAAUGCACAGUUGCACACCUUAUACACACCCAUAGAUCUUUUUUGUACAUAGGUUUGACUUUUGGCCCAAAAUGGAAAACUGCUUUUGAAGAGAUUUGAUAACAGAACAAUUAUAUGGAAUAAUGUCACUAGAUGUAAACACAUAAGAUUGU
Molecule: long non-coding RNA, 881 nt
Organism: Strongylocentrotus purpuratus (purple sea urchin)
Lineage: Eukaryota; Metazoa; Echinodermata; Echinoidea; Camarodonta; Strongylocentrotidae
Exons: 2
Source: RefSeq, a predicted model, not a curated record